GAUCAUGGCUCAGGAUGAACGCUAGCGACAGGCCUAACACAUGCAAGUCGAGGGGCAACAUGGUAUCAGCUUGCUGAUACCGAUGGCGACCGGCGCACGGGUGAGUAACGUGUAUGUAAUCUACCUGUAGCAGAGGGAUAACCCGGAGAAAUCCGGACUAAUACCUCAUAGCACAUAUUAUUCGCAUGAAUUUUAUGUUAAAGAGACUCGGUUACAGAUGAAC
RNAcentral lists this ribosomal RNA (223 nucleotides) under uncultured bacterium. RNAcentral's name for it is "partial 16S ribosomal RNA". It matches the Rfam family "Bacterial small subunit ribosomal RNA", at positions 15 to 230 of the family's 1533-position model. The record is from RNAcentral.